UGAGGAAUAUUGGUCAAUGGGCGAGAGCCUGAACCAGCCAAGUCGCGUGAAGGAAGACAGUCCUAAGGAUUGUAAACUUCUUUUAUACGGGAAUAACGGGCGAUACGAGUAUUGCAUUGAAUGUACCGUAAGAAUAAGCAUCGGCUAACUCCGUGCCAGCAGCCGCGGUAAUACGGAGGAUGCGAGCGUUAUCCGGAUUUAUUGGGUUUAAAGGGUGCGUAGGUUGUUCGGUAAGUCAGCGGUGAAACCUGAGCGCUCAACGUUCAGCCUGCCGUUGAAACUGCCGGGCUUGGGUUCAGUAGCGGCAGGCGGAAUUCGUGGUGUAGCGGUGAAAUGCAUAGAUAUCACGAGGAACUCCGAUUGCGAAGGCAGCUUGCCAUACUGCGACUGACACUGAAGCACGAAGGCGUGGGUAUCAAACAGG
Molecule: ribosomal RNA, 424 nt
Filed under: Fusobacteriota bacterium
Lineage: Bacteria; Fusobacteriati; Fusobacteriota
Description: Fusobacteria bacterium partial 16S ribosomal RNA
Rfam family: Bacterial small subunit ribosomal RNA
Source: RNAcentral